AACGAACGCUGGCGGCAUGCCUAACACAUGCAAGUCGAACGAGACCUCCGGGUCUAGUGGCGCACGGGGGCGUAACGCGUGGGAACCUGCCCUUAGGCUCGGAAUAACUCCCCGAAAGGGGUGCUAAUACCGGAUAAUGUCUUCGGACCAAAGGUUUGACGCCUUUGGAUGGGCCCGCGUUGGUUUAGCUAGUUGGUAGGGUAAAAGCCUACCAAGGCGACGAUCCAUAGCGGGUCUGAGAGGAUGAUCCGCCACACUGGGGCUGAGACACGGCCCAGACUCCUACGGGAGGCAGCAGUGGGGAAUAUUGGACAAUGGGCGAAGGCCUGAUCCAGCACUGCCGCGUGAGUGAUGAAGGCCUUAGGGUAGUAAAGCUCUUUUACCCGGGAUGAUAAUGACAGUACCGGGAGAAUAAGCUCCGGCUAACUCCGUG
This 433-nucleotide ribosomal RNA is filed under the name uncultured bacterium. Its description in RNAcentral is "partial 16S ribosomal RNA". It matches the Rfam family "Bacterial small subunit ribosomal RNA", at positions 29 to 507 of the family's 1533-position model. The record is from RNAcentral.